UGGGGAAUCUUGCACAAUGGGGGAAACCCUGAUGCAGCGACGCCGCGUGAGCGAUGAAGGUUUUCGAAUCGUAAAGCUCUGUCCUAUGGGAAGAUAAUGACGGUACCAUGGGAGGAAGCCCCGGCUAACUACGUGCCAGCAGCCGCGGUAAUACGUAGGGGGCGAGCGUUGUCCGGAAUUACUGGGCGUAAAGGGUUCGCAGGCGGCAUGGCAAGUCCGAUGUAAAAGGCGAAGGCUCAACCUUCGUAAGCAUUGGAAACUGUCAGGCUUGAGUGGAGGGGAGGCAAGUGGAAUUCCUAGUGUAGCGGUGGAAUGCGUAGAUAUUAGGAAGAAUACCGGUGGCGAAGGCGACUUGCUGGACUUCAACUGACGCUGAGGAACGAAAGCGUGGGUAGCAAACAGG
This 403-nucleotide ribosomal RNA is filed under the name Fusobacteriota bacterium. RNAcentral describes it as "Fusobacteria bacterium partial 16S ribosomal RNA". It matches the Rfam family "Bacterial small subunit ribosomal RNA", at positions 355 to 776 of the family's 1533-position model. The record is from RNAcentral. Lineage: Bacteria; Fusobacteriati; Fusobacteriota.